UUUGUAUGUAGUCUUCUAUACAAGAUAUGUAAAAUCCAUGAUUUCUUCUUCUGUAUUUCUGCAUUUGUCUGUUCAACAACUUUAUGCAUGCAAUUUUAUGUCUCUUUUUUGUCUCCAAUCCAUAGGUUUACACGUUUUACUCAUGGGACUCUUGAAGCAACCACACCAGCAACAUGAAACACACCAACAAAAAUACACAAUUAGUCCCUAAGGUUUAAAUUUUAUUUUGAAAGGAAAGAUGGUUAAAGUGUGAAAGAAAUAUUGAAUCUUUUAAUGUUUAUGUAAUCUGUCCAAGUAGUAAAUAUAGUUUAACAAAAAGGUUCUCAUGUUUAUUCAAGAAUUCAGUCUAUCAAUUAUUGAGUAGUGUCUGAAGCAAACACACCAGCAACAUGUUAUAUUAAGUUUAAAUUUUGUAUUUUAAAUUAUAAAAUGCAAUCUAUCUAAACACACAUUUAAAAAAGAAAACUAACAGAUUUUCUGAGCAGUUCUUGCAUUCUAUUCCAGGUUGGUCCAAAAAACUAACAGAUUUUGUAUUUAUAACAUCCAAUAGUCCAAAAAAGUACAUAAACCAUGUAAAAUUGGAAGCAUUUUGCUUGAAUUAUCUCAUACUAUACUGCCAACAUGAACAUACUCCCAUCCAGACAUAAUCUGGAGCUUGUCUGAGCCACAACUUAUCUAAUUAUAUAAUUUUUGUAACAUAAGUCUGAUAUACUUUUCUGAUCAUAUGUAUAUCUGAAUACAUUCUACUGAGUAUAUAUUUCCUUAUACAUAAAUAUUAGGGUAUCUCUCAUGAUAAUGCAUUGUGCAAUUAAAUAUGUGUUUUAGCCUCAUUUUGCCAUCAGAAAUUCAUCCGGGAUCAAAAGGAAUGUUCGUACUUGAUUCAAUGGCGUUCUAAAUGAAAAAUCAAUGUUUUGUUGCGUAAAAAUUACAUUCCCGGGGUUGGUAAUCGAUUACCGGUAUGUGGUAAUCGAUUACCGGUAUGUGGCAAUCGAUUACCACAGUAAAACAUAUACUUAAAGCAUAGCAAGGCAAACAUAUACUUAAAUCGACACAACCAUCGUAUGGGGUACUAAUUAACUUAAUUUAAUCUAAGAUAAUUAUUUAUCUCACUCAAACAUAAUCAUAAACUAUCUAAAAGGUGGGUUCUACAACUAAAGGAACUCACCGCGACUUAUCUAACCACUUUCAACAGCUUAAGCUCCACCUUCUGCUUAAGCCUCUGUCUGCCAAGCUCUUGCUUCUGUCUUCUCCAGUCCCCUAAAUCCAAUUCCUACUUGUUUUUGUCAGCCCAAUAUGCAUAAACAUCACAGAGACCUUGCCUUCACUAGCUUAUCUCCAAACUUUAAGUCUCAAGCUCCUACAUUCUUGCUUCAGCUUAUGCUUAUUCUUCAAUUUCUUUCCAAGCUCUCCUACUUCAAACCAAAUGUUUAAAAUCAGUUUCUUUAAGUGCUCCUAAGCCUCCAGGGAAUCAGAGUGACAUGAAAAGACGAUCCUCAUGUUCCGAACAUCUCACUUACCGGUUUGUAUGGCUAUGUCAAACCCGCAGGGUCCACCCUGCAAAUUCCAGCAUCAGUACCUUAACUUUCACAAUUUAAUUAAAAUACUAAACAAUAUCCGUUUUGAGCAAACGACCACUCAUUGGAAAGCUUAGGGUGUCAGGAUUACAAAUAUAAUUUUUGUUUUGAGGGUUAACCAUUCAAUUGGUUCAGUUUAACAAAAGAGCGGGUAUUGGUACAUAAACAUGACUGAAACUUUCUCAAACUUGUAGGCAGCUUUUCUCCUACUAUACUUAAUGAAAUUUAACAACUCUAGUGUCUAAACUAUAGGAAAUUUUGUCUUCUUUACAUUGGAUUAAGAAUCAUUAACAUAUGACCUAUUUUCAGAGAGUUAUGCUAAUUUUACCACAGGUAUGUUUACACGAAUUUCACACAAACAACUCUUCUUUUAUAUGAACUUGCAAACCAAACAUAUACAAUCCAAUAAUAGCCAAAACCAGUCCAUUUAAACUUAUAAAAUCCCUUUAUUUUCCAUCUUUUAGGGUCUCAGGUUUGGCAUGAAAGAGAAAGAAAGGAAUAAAGAGAGAAGGUUUAAUUCAUCUUACCUCAGUUUCUAGACAUCCAAAGCUUGAUUUUCAUGAGAAUUUCGUACAUGCAAUAGGAGGGUUUGAAGAAAAGAAAUGUGGGGGUUUUUGGUUUGAUUCUAAACAGGAGGGAAAAUGGAGAAUUUGAGCAAAAUAUUACUGGAAAUGGGUUUCUUUGAUGAUGGGUUUAUGAUUUUCAUUCAUGGAUGUGCUUGAUUUUGAGGGAUUGGUGAGGAAGGAAUUUGCAGGUGAUGACCAAGGUGAAGAAGAGAGGAUGGCGUCUGAGAAAAGAAGAGAGAGAUAUAAUGAAAAUUCUGAUUUUCAUUCCGAGAAAUGAUAUUUGAACAUAAAUGACAACUUUUGCAACAACUUUCUUUCUUAUACUCACGUUACUUUUUACUUUAUCUCUCUAUUGCUAUGAUUUUUGUGCCAAUACCACAUUUUUCUUUGUAAAAUAUGGUUGUCAAAUAAGUUGUCACCAAAUUGGUUGUUCAAAUAACACUCCUCUUUCAUUCCUCUUAUUAAUCACAUUUAACCCUUUCCUCUUUUACUAUUUUGCCCCUCCUUUUACUACUAAAACAUAAUUGUUUCUUUUCAUCAAUAUUUCUCCAAUUUACUAUAUAAAAUUUUAUCUCAUCCUUUAUUUGGAGUCUCUAAUUCACACCAUUAUUAUUAAUGAGAGCUGGAUUAUUACAAUUGUCUUGGUAGUUUGAACUCAAUGUUGAUUUAUUGACUUUGAAAUCAACAACGAUAUAAAUCGGUGUGUUAAUCAAUAUGGUUGUAUUGC
This 2867-nucleotide long non-coding RNA is filed under the name Medicago truncatula (barrel medic). RNAcentral's name for it is "long non-coding RNA (MTRU_LNC000950)". The record is from RNAcentral. Lineage: Eukaryota; Viridiplantae; Streptophyta; Magnoliopsida; Fabales; Fabaceae.